AGGACUUCGAGCUGCGCACGUAUGCGGCGCCCGCCUUCGCCCGCCUGCGGCGCUCGCUGGGCCUGUCUGAGGAGGACUACCAGGCGUCGCUGUCCUCCCGCGGCUUCUACCUCCAGUUCAUCAGCAACUCCAAGAGCUCGGCCGACUUCUUCCUCACGCAUGACAAGCGCUUCUUCCUGAAGACGCAGAGCAAACGGGAGAUCCGGUUCCUCCUCUCCAACCUGUCCCGGUACCUGCGGCACCUCGAGAGAUACCCCCACUCGCUCCUGGUCCGCUUCUUGGGGGUUCACAGCAUCAUCCUGCCCCGCCGGAGGAAGGUAGGUGCCCAUGGCCGGUGCCACGUGGCCCAGGGCUGCCGGCGC
Molecule: non-coding RNA, 362 nt
Organism: Tinamus guttatus (white-throated tinamou)
Lineage: Eukaryota; Metazoa; Chordata; Aves; Tinamiformes; Tinamidae
Source: RefSeq, a predicted model, not a curated record